GCCGAAGUGGCGGAACUGGUAGACGCGCUAGGUUCAGGGCCUAGUAGCUGUAUGGCUGUGCGAGUUCGAGUCUCGCCUUCGGCACCA
RNAcentral lists this transfer RNA (87 nucleotides) under Desulfobacterales bacterium. RNAcentral's name for it is "tRNA-Leu". It matches the Rfam family "tRNA". From Rfam's summary of the family: Transfer RNA (tRNA) molecules are approximately 80 nucleotides in length. The record is from RNAcentral. Lineage: Bacteria; Pseudomonadati; Thermodesulfobacteriota; Desulfobacteria; Desulfobacterales.